This 253-nucleotide ribosomal RNA is filed under the name uncultured bacterium. RNAcentral's name for it is "partial 16S ribosomal RNA". It matches the Rfam family "Bacterial small subunit ribosomal RNA", at positions 524 to 776 of the family's 1533-position model. The record is from RNAcentral.
UACGGAGGGUGCGAGCGUUGUCCGGAAUCACUGGGCGUAAAGGGCGCGUAGGCGGCCUGAUAAGUAGGGGGUGAAAUCCUGCGGCUUAACCGCAGGGCUGCCUUCUAAACUGUCAGGCUGGAGCACAGUAGAGGCAGGUGGAAUUCCCGGUGUAGCGGUGGAAUGCGUAGAGAUCGGGAAGAACAUCAGUGGCGAAGGCGCUCUACUGGACCACAACUGACACUCAGGGACGAAAGCUAGGGGAGCGAAUGGG